AAAUGUAAUUUUUUGUGACUAAUUGUUAUCUCUCUGAUGUUUGAAGUGAAAUUGGUGUAAGCUAUUGAUAUGAAAUCCUGGAGAUGUUGAUCAGUAAGUCGAGACCGUUUAUUUUU
Molecule: long non-coding RNA, 116 nt
Organism: Aricia agestis (brown argus)
Lineage: Eukaryota; Metazoa; Arthropoda; Insecta; Lepidoptera; Lycaenidae
Exons: 3
Source: RefSeq, a predicted model, not a curated record